GAUGAAGAACGUAGCGAAAUGCGAUAAGUAGUGUGAAUUGCAGAAUUCAGUGAAUCAUCGAAUCUUUGAACGCACAUUGCGCCCUUUGGUAUUCCAAAGGGCAUGCCUGUUCGAGCGUCAUUUGUACCCUCAAGCUUUGCUUGGUGUUGGGCGUCUUGUCUCCAGUUCGCUGGAGACUCGCCUUAAAGUAAUUGGCAGCCGACCUACUGGUUUCGGAGCGCAGCACAAGUCGCGCUCUCUUCCAGCCAAGGUCAGCAUCCACAAAGCCUUUUUUCAACUUUUGACCUCGGAUCAGGUAGGGAUACCCGCUGAACUUAAGCAUAUCAAUAAGCGGAGGA
Molecule: unclassified non-coding RNA, 338 nt
Filed under: soil metagenome
Description: partial contains 5.8S ribosomal RNA, internal transcribed spacer 2, and large subunit ribosomal RNA
Rfam family: 5.8S ribosomal RNA (bases 1-120)
Source: RNAcentral